This 38-nucleotide ribosomal RNA is filed under the name Wolffia brasiliensis. RNAcentral's name for it is "partial 26S ribosomal RNA". Lineage: Eukaryota; Viridiplantae; Streptophyta; Magnoliopsida; Alismatales; Araceae. The record is from RNAcentral.
CUCGGACCGCGAACCCAGGUCAGGCAGGACCACCCGCC